AAGGAUUUAAGUUAAAAAAACUAUUAACCUUCAAAGUUAAAAAUAGAGAUUAUCUAAGCCUUA
This 63-nucleotide transfer RNA is filed under the name Coelophora saucia. RNAcentral's name for it is "tRNA-Trp". Lineage: Eukaryota; Metazoa; Arthropoda; Insecta; Coleoptera; Coccinellidae. The record is from RNAcentral.